ACAACUUAAAAUCUGUCUAAUAUAAUUGAAACGAUGCAUAGAAGAUUAACAUAGUUCCUGCUCAAGAAUGACAUGCACAGAAAAGAAUCUAACCUCGAUAAU
This is a small nuclear RNA of Prosopis cineraria, 102 nucleotides long. Lineage: Eukaryota; Viridiplantae; Streptophyta; Magnoliopsida; Fabales; Fabaceae. The record is from RefSeq and is a predicted model, not a curated record.